Molecule: ribosomal RNA, 728 nt
Filed under: uncultured bacterium
Lineage: Bacteria
Description: bacterial SSU rRNA
Rfam family: Bacterial small subunit ribosomal RNA
Source: RNAcentral
CAGGAUUAGAUACCCUGGUAGUCCACGCCGUAAACGAUGUCGACUUGGAGGUUGUGCCCUUGAGGCGUGGCUUCCGGAGCUAACGCGUUAAGUCGACCGCCUGGGGAGUACGGCCGCAAGGUUAAAACUCAAAUGAAUUGACGGGGGCCCGCACAAGCGGUGGAGCAUGUGGUUUAAUUCGAUGCAACGCGAAGAACCUUACCUGGUCUUGACAUCCACAGAACUUUCCAGAGAUGGAUUGGUGCCUUCGGGAACUGUGAGACAGGUGCUGCAUGGCUGUCGUCAGCUCGUGUUGUGAAAUGUUGGGUUAAGUCCCGCAACGAGCGCAACCCUUAUCCUUUGUUGCCAGCGGUCCGGCCGGGAACUCAAAGGAGACUGCCAGUGAUAAACUGGAGGAAGGUGGGGAUGACGUCAAGUCAUCAUGGCCCUUACGACCAGGGCUACGCACGUGCUACAAUGGCGCAUACAAAGAGAAGCGACCUCGCGAGAGCAAGCGGACCUCAUAAAGUGCGUCGUAGUCCGGAUUGGAGUCUGCAACUCGACUCCAUGAAGUCGGAAUCGCUAGUACUCGUGGAUCAGAAUGCCACGGUGAAUACGUUCCCGGGCCUUGUACACACCGCCCGUCACACCAUGGGAGUGGGUUGCAAAAGAAGUAGGUAGCUUAACCUUCGGGAGGGCGCUUACCACUUUGUGAUUCAUGACUGGGGUGAAGUCGUAACAAGGUAACC